UACGAAGGGGGCUAGCGUUGUUCGGAAUUACUGGGCGUAAAGGGCGCGUAGGCUGUGCUGUAAGUCAGGCGUGAAAGCCCCGGGCUCAACCUGGGAAUUGCGCUUGAUACUGCGGCGCUGGAAGGUGGGAGAGGAUGGCGGAAUUCCCAGUGUAGAGGUGAAAUUCGUAGAUAUUGGGAAGAACACCGGUGGCGAAGGCGGCCAUCUGGCCCAUUUUUGACGCUGAGGCGCGAAAGCGUGGGGAGCAAACGGG
RNAcentral lists this ribosomal RNA (253 nucleotides) under uncultured bacterium. RNAcentral describes it as "partial 16S ribosomal RNA". It matches the Rfam family "Bacterial small subunit ribosomal RNA", at positions 524 to 776 of the family's 1533-position model. The record is from RNAcentral.